Molecule: ribosomal RNA, 759 nt
Filed under: uncultured archaeon
Lineage: Archaea
Description: bacterial SSU rRNA
Rfam family: Archaeal small subunit ribosomal RNA
Source: RNAcentral
GGAUAACCUGCCCUUGGGUCCGGCAUAACCCCGGGAAACUGGGGAUAAUUCCGGAUAACGCACAUAUGCUGGAAUGCUUUAUGCGUAAAAUGGAUUCGUCUGCCCAAGGAUGGGUCUGCGGCCUAUCAGGUAGUAGUGGGUGUAAUGUACCUACUAGCCAACAACGGGUACGGGUUGUGAGAGCAAGAGCCCGGAGAUGGAUUCUGAGACAUGAAUCCAGGCCCUACGGGGCGCAGCAGGCGCGAAAACUUUACAAUGCGGGAAACCGUGAUAAGGGGACACCGAGUGCCAGCGUCAUACGCUGGCUGUCCAGGUGUGUAAAAUACACCUGUUAGCAAGGGCCGGGCAAGACCGGUGCCAGCCGCCGCGGUAACACCGGCGGCCCGAGUGGUGAUCGUGAUUAUUGGGUCUAAAGGGUCCGUAGCCGGUUUGGUCAGUCCUCCGGGAAAUCUGAUAGCUCAACUAUUAGGCUUUCGGGGGAUACUGCCAGACUUGGAACCGGGAGAGGUAAGAGGUACUACAGGGGUAGGAGUGAAAUCUUGUAAUCCCUGUGGGACCACCUGUGGCGAAGGCGUCUUACCAGAACGGGUCCGACGGUGAGGGACGAAAGCUGGGGGCACGAACCGGAUUAGAUACCCGGGUAGUCCCAGCCGUAAACGAUGCUCGCUAGGUGUCAGGCAUGGCGCGACCGUGUCUGGUGCCGCAGGGAAGCCGUGAAGCGAGCCACCUGGGAAGUACGGCCGCAAGGCUGAAACUUAA